AUGCAGCAGCAUAUAAAUAUUUUAAUAAAUAACUGGUUUUCUUUGAUAAAAUUAUUUCAGUAAUACGUUUCUCAGAGAUGGCAGGGUGAGCUAGCAUAUGGCUACAAACCAAAACGACUAUGUUGUCCUUCCAUUGUUGGAGGCAGUUUGCUUGGCCACUGCAAGAAGAGGAUGCUGGACUAGUUGGGCCAUUGAUCUGAUCCAACAGGACUCUUUUUAUUCAAGAAGACCAUUUUUUUUCUUUAUUGUUUCCUCUUCUCCCCUUGGUUUGAGGGUAAAAUAAAAGUUGAUGCUCCAUUCUAAGUCAGCUUUCUCUCUCUUCUAUGACGGUCUUGCUUAUUAGGCCACUUUGACUGAGUUUAUUUAUUUUUUUGCAUAGCACCGUGCACUGAACAGGAUCUGAAUUGAAGCCACCUUUGGGUGUUGCUUCCUUUUUAAGGAUUGCAGAGAAACCCUCUGUACAUGUGUGCACACUUAGGGGUCCAUGUAAUACCCAGUUCCUCACAUCCUCCCUGUCCAUCUUACUGAGAAGGGCAUUUUGCUCAUUAGAAUAACAAUGGUCCAUUUCCUUACCUGAUUUUUUAAUGGGUGAAUGGAAGUGAGGAUAUACUGACUUUUCUAUAAACACUUGGAUACAUUUCUGCUUUUGUCCCCCAAUUCUCCCUUCUCCUUCGUUUUGCUGCUCUUGCGUCUUCACCGUUCUGCACCUGGCAAAUCCCUCAGUGAUGCAAGCAGUUCUAGUCCCAGCUUGAACAAUGGGAAGAGUUCCCAAGGAAACCUGCAAAUUCAACAAAGAUAACCCCAAUGUGUCAGAAGCUCUACAGCGCGGAAUGGUAAUGCACUGUCCUUUCCAUCCAAAUUGGUAAGGGUAUCUAAUUAAUUUGGCAGAGUUUCCCAGCCCUCAAUUACGGCAUCUGUUGCAGCACAGAACAAUCCAGAGCAACCAUCUGUCUUUCUACAUGUAAAAUGAAUGGAUGAGCAAAGAUAUAAUUUUAUUUUAGCAGCAGAGGGUAGGAACAAGCAUGAUACCCAGGCUGAAGCUGUACACUUCAAAUUGUCAAGGUUAAUUACCAGAGAAAUAUACAGAGCUGCAUACUGGGCUGGAGUAGGCUUGGUGUUCCGUGCCAAAGCACAGUUGGAAGGAGAUUAGCAACGGGCAAGUUAUACAGGAUCAUACAGGUUUCGUUAUAUUGGAUGUAUAAAUCUCUUUACCUCUUCCAGCUAAUCAGUGCUCAUCCCGGUUGCCCACCUGAGGCCCAUCUUUCUGCCAAGAGCAUCUUGGGCAAGAGAAGCAAAGGGGAACUGUGCAACAUCCGCUGCGUCUGGAUGUAAACCCAGCAUUUGACUGCAGCUGACCCACUCAGGGACUUGGAAUUUAAGACCUGUUUCUGAUAGCACCCAUUUUGCAUGUGGAAGUGGAGAUACACAACAGCAGGCAUGGUUGUGUGUGUGUGUUUUGGGUUUGAUGAAAGCAUCUCUGUGGGGUGUAUGUAAAUAAGCAAUGAACUGUGGCUCCCGUACAGCAGAGGGAAGAUCAUGCGCAAACAGGUGCUGCGGAUGUGUCUCUCAGGGCGUGGGAACAAGGGUCUAAAAGGUGAAAAUGAGAGUGCAAACAUGAGGCCUUAUCAAACGGUUUUGAAGAGCAUCAAUAAUCAGUUCAGGCAAAGAACUGGAUUCAGUCCACUCGUGCAUCCACAUGUGGUUUUGAAGGUGAUUUUAGUGGGGCUUCUGCCUCCUGGCUCAGGUCUUUCUAGUUCUGGUAAACACAUGUGUUUCACUUGUUGGACCAAGGCGAUAGCUUCACCAUCCUCCAUCAUGAGCUCAGACAUGCAGUUGAAGGAGCUUUUGCCUUCAGAUGAGCAAAACAGGAAACCUCUGCAAGUGUAGUGUUUUGGUUUGUAUUGAUCAGAACAUGGGUAGGCAAACUAAGGUCCGGGGGGCAGAUCCGGCCCAAUCGCCUUCUAAAUCCGGCCUGUGGAUGGUACAGGAAUCAGAGUGUUUUUUCAUGAGUAGAAUGUGUGCUUUUAUUUAAAAUGCGUCUCUGGGUUAUUUGUGGGGCAUAGGAAUUCGUUCAUUCCCCCCCCCCCAAAAAAAAAUAUAGUCUGGCCCCCCACAAGGUCUGAGGGACAGUGGAAUGGCCCCCUGCUGAAAAAGUUUGCUGACCCCUGCUUUAGAAUAUACAAUGUGGUUUUCUCAGAUCUUCAGCUGUUGUCACUACAUACAUCUGCAGCAAGUGUUGCCAGAGAUGUUGAUGUUGUUUAAACAAUUUUCAACAAGAAGGAAUCAUUCCAAAGCUCAUGGUGUAUAAAAUAAAAUACAUAGGUUAUUUUCGUCAGGGCUACAUAAACCAGAAAACAAAACACAAACCGUUUAGAUUGCAAUCCCGUGGCCCCUGAAAGGGCAUCCUUGGGCGAUAGGAUACAUCAGAUUGCUUUAAGUGCUCAUGGAAAUUCAUCACCAACUUAGUGCAAAUUUCUCCCAAUACAGACAUUUUUCUAGGAAAUUUUGCCUAAUAAACAUGGUUUGCAAAACAAUUUCCCGUAAUAUAAGACACCUUUGUAUGUUUUAUCACUGAUAUAUGCAUUUUUAUGCACACUUUACCCUAGUAUAUGUAUUUUUGUACAGGUUACUUGAACAUAGAACUGCACUGCAAAAUUCUGAGGUGUGAAUUGCGAACGAUGGUCGGUGUUUUUUUUAGUUUGCAUAUUGUUUCAUAAAGUGCAAAUCUGGUAGGUUUGCUUUUAAAUUCAGCCAGAAGCAAAGGGCAGCAGGGUCAUGGCAAAAGCAGAAAAUCCCAGCUUGAGCUCCUUAGAGUUGCACUUAGAGUUGUAUGCCCAGACCUAUCAGGAAUGCUUUUAUACUGACAAUACCGGCACUCUUAGACCUUCAGUUCUCUUGUGUGUGUCAAACUGGAACGUCCCGAUUUAAAUUUUAUUCAGCCUUUAUUGAUUUUUUUUCUUUUUCUUAGCAAGGAGAAGGCAUGAUGUAUAUUCCUGUGAGCCAGAAGGAAUGGAGAAGCAUGAUUAAAAAUGACCUACUUUAGUAUGAUAAAUAAUACGUCAGAAAUUGAACAGAUGGACCCCUGCUGCUACAUUCAAGACUAAUUUCUCACCCUUCUUCAUGCUCAGGUUUGGUGCUAUAUUAUAACUGCAUCAUUCUAAGCCUUUCAGCUUGACCCAUCUGAUAGACAAUGGUUCCUGUAUUGAAUACAGUAUAUUCUCUACAGCCAUAUUUAUGCAUGGUUAUCUGUGUUAAAUCAAACUCACUGAGGGUGGCAUGGGGGUUCCCCUGUAACUGGUGGCUUCACCUUUGACUCUGAAAGAGUCUUCAAACUGCAUUCAGUUGAAUGCAUCAGCACACAGGCUUCUAUUGGAAAUGCUGAAUGUUCUUAGAUGCCUCUUUUACACAACGGGAAGUGAAGCUGGUGGGGAGGAGGACAUUGGCAGUGGCGUCCACCCCCCCUUUCCCCCAUGCAGCUUUAUUUCAGCACAGAGAACUUAAUGUAGGGUCCGCCAGCAUGGUGCCAGGGUGCCUGCUGGUAUCUCCUGUGGUGCCUGAGAAAUGUCUAAUUACAUAUCCCCUCAAAAAUCUACAUUGUGUUAAAGAUUCUUUGCUCUUCCUGUGCAGUUCCUGUUUGCACUGGCUCACCCUUUCGUACAUAAAACACUCUCUUAAAUAAGCCCACAUUUCAGUGGAUGCCAGCAUAUUCAGUGGACACUCUCUCUUCUGUUCUGAACAAAGAAGAGGUACACAGAGCUUCUCUUUUUGAAUGUUGCAUUGGCUGAUGUAGGCACCUUUUCCCUGUUGCAUGUGCCCACACUAAUUUGUGGUCCUAUCUCUUUUUCUGCUCCUUUAGGUGUGGAAGCCAUUUUGUGUUGCCCCACAUUCCCAUGGCAACCAUUUUGUGUUAUGCUACACUCCCAUGGCAGCCAUCAAAGUUCCAAAUGUGCCCACUGGCCACGAAAGGUUAGAAACCUUGAUAUAAUACCUGAAUAUUGCUACCAUUAUGUUUUUAUAUGUGUUGGAAGUCACCCAGUGUGGAUGGGGCAACCCAGCCAGAUGGGCAGGGUAUAAAUAAGAAAAUUAUGCUCAUCACCAUGUAUGUAUAUUGCUGGCACAUACUUAAAUUGUGCCCAUAGUGGUACCCAUUUGCCUGAUUGCCACUGAAAACCUUACUUUAUUAUUAGUAAUAACAAUUAAAUUUCUGUACAGUGGUACCUCGGGUUACAUACGCUUCAGGUUACAUACUCUGCUAACCCAGAAAUAGUACUUCGGGUUAAGAACUUUGCUUCAGGAUGAGAACAGAAAUCGUGCUCCAGCAGCGCGGCGGCAGCAGGAGGCCCCAUUAGCUAAAGUGGUGCUUCAGGUUAAGAACAGUUUCAAGUUAAGAACAGAUCUCCGGAACGAAUUAAGUACUUAACCUGAGGUACCACUGUACUGCCCUUCAUAUGAGAGUCACAGGUGGUUUACAAUAUAAAAACACAGAAAUAAAUAACAUAGUAACAAACAAAACAACAUCCCUCACUAUUUUGUGGCUACUAAAUUGUGAUAACUCCAAAUUUCAAGCAAUUUUGAGUCUUUUAUUUUUAUUUUUGGACAGCUGCAUUACUCCACACUGCAGAAUUCCAUAAUGUUUUUGUGCUAUUGUUCAUGAAGCUAUUGUUCAUGGCUUGUUUAAUGCAUGUUAUCUAGUAAACAUUCACUUAGGUUUGCUCACAAUUCAGUACAUCCUCCUUGAGAAUGAACUAUUCAAAUUAAUUAUAUUGCUAAUUAAAGGGAGAGAGAAAAAAGGACAGACAAAUUCCUUUCUGUAAGCUCCUUUUAGGUUAAAAAAAUACAGUAUGUAAUACUGGCAUGUGUCUUCUGAAUUACAUAAAAUGUUUAUUUUGAACUUAAUCUUUGAAAAUCUCUUUGGUGGGGAAGACCAUCACAAUCCAAAUGUAGGGUUACCAUACGGCUGGAAUUUCCCAGACAUAUCUGGAAUACCGCAACAACUUUUCUGUCCAGAUUUUCACUGUUUGAAUGGCAACCCUACCAAAUGCUAACACAAAAUAUUAUACUUAUUUCCUGAGCCAGAUUUCCCUUUCCUAUACAAAGAAUCAUGUCUGGUAGGUAUACCAGCUUUUCCUAACCUGGUGCUUUUAGAUGCAGGACUACAACUUCCAUCAUCACUUGCCAUUGGCCAUGCUGAUGGAAGUUGUCCAAAACAUCUGGAGUGCACCUGACUGAGGAAGGCUGGUGUAAACGGACUCAUUUAUAUCAGUAGAAUCUGUGCACACUUCCUGUGCCCCUCUCAAUUCAGUCCCCUCCAUAGGUGGUUUUCAGAAUUGAAAACACAAGUUGUCAUCUCCUAUCUCCACUAGUGCCAAGUGAAAUGUCAAAUUCUUCUGAAUACUUGUCUGUGGCAAAUUGGUCUGAGAAGAACUAAUGAUAAUGGACGGAAAGCGUGUUCUCCUUCAUGGAGAGCACGUGUUGCGGUGGGGUCUGCUGAGCCACCCCUCUGUUACCAGACAGGGUCUCUAAAGAUGGCCUGGGGCAGUGAUUGGUUCACUGGGUUGCUGGGGUAAAAGUUAUGUUGCAAUUUUGGUGUGAGGGGUAAAAUGUUUAAAUACUCUGCACGCAGCCUGGAGCUUUCUCUUUGCUGCGUGCAACGGAUCACCCGCCCACCCACCCUUGAGUAAGGGGUUGUUGCAUUGACCUUGCUAUGCCUGUCAUGGGGUCGUCUGCCAUUGGGGCAGGGGCCUGGUAGGAAUUUUGUCCAUCUGGCUGAUUGGCUGGGCCAUUUGGUUUUUGCCUACUGCGUAGCAAAUUGUCACAACUUGUAAGGUUGCGGUUAGGCAUUGGUUAUAAAUUGGUGGAGGAGGGGUUAGGAUAGGCUGGGCCUGCCCCUCCAUGGUUGCUGCGGAAAGGGAAUUCCGUUAAAGGAAUCCUGGGGCUUGCCAUCUUUUCGUCCAAUCCCUAGAAUGGGACUAGGGCUGGCAAGCCUUCGGGGAGCAUGCGGAUGAGAAUUGUGGGUCUGUGACUCAGCUCCAUUUCUCCCCGACUUGUUUUCCUGCACUGUCUUUCGGUGGUGCCCGGAAGUCAGUUCUGUCCCCAGGCGGGGGGACAGAUAGUCUUAACCAAUGCCUAAACAACCACUCACGGUUUCGUAUUUAAAUAAAGUUGUGGCCAAAAUUAUGCCAAAAACCUUAAACAAAAAUUAAGUGUGCGUUGUGAGUUAUUUGGGGGGUGGCUUGGGGACCUCGACACGCAACCCUCUGCCCCAUGUACAUGGACAGUGGUACCUUGGUUCUCAAAUUUAAUCCAUUCUGGAAGUUCGUUUGACUCCUGGAACAGUUCAAAAACCAAGGCAUGGCUUCUGAUUGGCUGCAGGAGCUUCCUGCAGCCAAUUGGAAGCUGUGUAAACCAUGUUGGUUGUUCGGCUUUCAAAGCACAUUCGCAAACCAGAACAGUCACUUCCAGGUUUGUGGCGUUUGGGGGCUGAUUUGUUUGACAACCAAGGCGUUUGACAACCAAGGUACCACUGUAUUUAAAAUCCACUUUGAGUCGUCCCCCCCAAACAAACAAUCAACCAGUGUAUAAAUUUUAUGAAAUAAACAUAACCUCUUGCUGUCAUAUGAGGAGUUUUGCAGGCCUGAGACCGCUGUGUUGAAAAAGGAUGGAAUGGAACUUGACACAGUUGAAUGGGCAUUGGAUCUAAUUGGUUGUCAUGUGGAAACAACCGCUUUUCAGUGCUAUCAUCCAGCUGGCAUGUGUCUUUAGUGCACAACUGGCAAAGUGGAACACAUCUUGUUGAUGAAGAUCCUCUUUCCAUAAAAAGUAACAAACCAAAAUCAUGGCAGAAAAAUAAUUGACACUUCACAUACAUUAUACAUUUGUACCAGUUCCAAAGAUGGUGUAAAUCCAACCUGUCAUGGCACAUCUGGAAAAUACGUUUUCCUUAUUGCUCUGAAAAUAAUGUUGGAAGUGCUUUUAAUGUAACAUAAACUAUGGCCUACAGGCAAAGGAUUCUUAAGUCUGUCUUCCCAAGAGUAGCAAAACUGUUGGCAGAGGUCUCCUUUUAUGCAUUUUGGCUGCUUACUCUUGUAUACAAGGACCCAGGCAGAAUCAGGGAAGAAUUUGUUGUUUGUGCUUAGCAGGAAAGGGUUAAAAAGUGCUUUGUGUGUGCCUGAUUCAUGGGGGAUUUAAACUGCAGGAAACAGAGCAGUGGUGCAAUGUAGAUAAUUUUAGACUCUGGACUCUGGUGCUACUUUGUGUGUGUUGCAGGGAAGUGCUCUUAGGUGUAUUACUUCACUUCAGAUUGUGGCAAGCCAGCUGUACUAUAUUGGGGGGGGGGGGCUUCCUGCUCUUUCUGCAGAGGGGAGCCAUGGACUUCUGCCUGGAAGUCUUGUACUGACAGCACCAUUGCAGCAGAAUUAAUGCUGGCUGGGCCUUCAGCCCUAGCUGCUGUUGUAACCUGUAGCCUAACCACCAUCCAGAUGCAAAGAAAAGGUGCAUGAAUGUGCACGCAAGGACUGAUGUGAUUUAGUACCCGCCGACUAGUUUUCCAUACAUAGUAGUGAUUGGAUUGGGUUCCACAGGGUGGAUGUUUCUAUCUUCCCAAUGUGAGAAUGGACAAUGGCAAAUAACUGGAGUGCAGACAUGAGUAUGAUGCGUUGCCUGCCUAAGGUAUGAGCAGCUAGAAUACAAAACAGGAAUACACUGGAACAAGUAGGAGGCAGCUGUUUAUUGUGGAAGAUGCAUACAUUUUUGGCCGAUGUAAUCUGCUGAAAGCAUGCAGGUGAAUGAGCUGUUGACGGUAUGACAUUAUUAGGACCAGGAGUGCCAAAGUUGAUGGAGGGCCAGAGCUAGAUUUGGAGUUUAUUCCCUAACUGUUGCUUGGUCAAGUUCUGCUGAUCGGAGAUGCUAAUUUUGAAAUCAGUAGGGGGAUCAUUUCACAUGGGUGAAAGGCCUGCUUUGAGAUAUAUUCAAGAGUCAAGAUUUGAUUCUAGUCACACUUAUGUAGGAGCAAGCCUCACAGUACACAGUAGGGUUUGCUUGCUGAGUCAACAUGUGUAGGAUUGUGCCUAACUUGCAAAAAAGGAGAGGUCAUUUUUUUCUAGCUCCAUAUCCUUUGGCCUUCUUAAAUAGCAUCUCUGCAGUUGGUCAGUAGCUGUUUCAGAUUGGGCCUUCUCCCAGAUAACACCUAAGAGAAUUGUAAUGUUUGAGUCUUGAGUAUACAGAUGAUAACUUGUCAAAUUCAAUGGGAAAGUAGGAUGCUGCCAGGAUAAAGAUAUCCCUAUAGCAGCCGCUUGAAUUCUGUGAAACGCAGUAAACAGAACUGGGGAUGGAAGCAUUAUAGUUUAUAUCAUAUGUCUGGAAUUAUUACUUUGGCAGGAGUGAGGUGGGCGCAGGUGGCAUUCAAAUGCCCCAUUAGGUGCAUGAGCAAAUUCAUACUUGGCAGUUAGCUGCCCUCUGUCAAACUGCAGUUUAAGGUUUGUGAACACUAAAUGCUGCUGUGGCAGCCACUCACACGUCUACAGGCAUUCAAGUCUUGGGAGCUUGCAUUUUAUCUAUGAUCAAGUUCAACUCGGUAGGCAGACACAAGCUCCCAAGUCCAUUCAUUUCAUGUGUGUGUUUAUCAUUUUUGAAUACUCAAGUCUGGCUCCCCAUGACAUUGUGCUUGUUGCCAUUUAUUUGAAUGCUUUAAAAAGACAUAUAAAAAAUUGUUCUGUUGUAUUUUAUUGGGAAUCAAAUGUGGGGCACCUGCCAAUAAGAGAAAAAAAAAACCCUUUGGGUACAAUCUCUCUCUCUCUCUCUCUCUCUCUCUCUCUCUCUCUCUCCAAACCCCACUUACAAUAUUUUUCUUAUUUAAUCAUGGAAUGUCCCACUUUUCCUUAGGAUGUCCAUAUUUUCAAUGGUGAAAAUACGGACAUGACCUCAGUGAGGGUAUGGCCUUAGUGACUUCCAGGAUACACAUGACAGGGUCCUUUUUGCAUAACCCCAGGGGAAGCCAUGCCACAUCAAGAUUGGGGCCAAUGUCACAUAACUGUGGAAUGGGGCCAUGGGUGCAGUCUCACUGCCCCUUUCUUUGAGAGGCCUUUGGUUGCUUGUCUGGACCAGACUUAGAAUCAUAGAAUCAUAGAGUUGGAAGAGACCACAAGGGCCAUCGAGUCCAACCCCCUGCCAAGCAGGAAACACCAUCAGAGCACUCCUGACAUAUGGUUGUCAAGCCUCUGCUUAAAGACCUCCAAAGAAGGAGACUCCACCACACUCCUUGGCAGCAAAUUCCACUGUCGAACAGCUCUUACUGUCAGGAAGUUCUUCCUAAUGUUUAGAUGGAAUCUUCUUUCUUGUAGUUUGGAUCCAUUGCUCCGUGUCCGCUUCUCUGGAGCAGCAGAAAACAACCUUUCUCCCUUCUCUAUGUGACAUCCUUUUAUAUAUUUGAACAUGGCUAUCAUAUCACCCCUUAACCUCCUCUUCUUCAGGCUAAACAUGCCCAGCUCCCUUAGCCGUUCCUCAUAAGGCAUCGUUUCCAGGCCUUUGACCAUUUUGGUUGCCCUCCUCUGGACACGUUCCAGUUUGUCAGUGUCCUUCUUGAACUGUGGUGCCCAGAACUGGACACAGUACUCCAGGUGAGGUCUGACCAGAGCAGAAUACAGUGGCACUAUUACUUCCCUUGAUCUAGAUGCUAUACUCCUAUUGAUGCAGCCCAGAAUUGCAUUGGCUUUUUAGCUGCCGUGUCACACUGUUGGCUCAUGUCAAGUUUGUGGUCAACCAAGACUCCUAGAUCCUUUUCACAUGUACUGCUCUCAAGCCAGGUGUCACCCAUCUUGUAUUUGUGCCUCUCAUUUUUUUUGCCCAAGUGCAAUACUUUACAUUUCUCCCUGUUAAAAUUCAUCUUGUUCGUUUUGGCCCAGUUCUCUAAUCUGUCAAGGUCGUUUUGAAGUGUGAUCCUGUCCUCUGGGGUGUUAGCCACCCCUCCCAGUUUGGUGUCAUCUGCAAAUUUGAUCAGGAUGCCCUUGAGUCCAUCAUCCAAGUCGUUGAUGAAGAUGUUGAAUAAGACCGGGCCCAAGACAGAACCCUGUGGCACCCCACUAGUCACUCUUCUCCAGGAUGAAGAGGAACCAUUGAUGAGCACCCUUUGGGUUCGGUCAGUCAGCCAGUUACAAAUCCACUGAGUGGUAGCAUAGUCAAGACCGCAUUUUACCAGCUUCUUUACAAGAAUAUCAUGGGGCACUCCUCCUUUCUUGUCUGGUCUGUUUCUCUGAAAUAGAUUGUAUGCCUCCAUUAUUACAUUCCAAUCAUGGGACUUAUCCCACCAGGUUUCAGUGAUGCCUGUUAUGUCAAGAAUAUCAUGGGGCACACUUGACUACUGAGAAUUCUAAUGGCUCCCUCAAAGACAGCCAGAGGAAGCUAGAGGGGAUUGUACAGCUAUCUGUGCCAUCUCUUCUUUAUCUUUUCUUUCAUUGGCAGCUGAUUGUGGUUGCUCUUCCCAAAAACUCAGAAAAAAUAGCCACUAACUGAGAGAGAGAUAAGUGUCAACAGCGGAGAAAGGUGGUUAGUGGACCUACGAGAAACAUGAAUGAAUACUGGAGAAAGGUGAUCAAUGGGUCUACAAUCCCUUCCAACUUUCUCCUUGAAGAACCUACAUAAUUCUCAACAGUCAGAGUCUUGCUCUUCUUCAGAACAGUUUCAUGUGAUGAGGUGACACGCAGCCAGGGUCUCUGUAAAGGGAAGCUACAGUGGGUUAGGAAGGCAUUGCCAUCUUCCAACCCUGUUGAGGUCCCAACUAAAAAGGAUGCAGAAAGUUAUCGUUACAGGGCACAAUGAGACAUCCCACAGGGAAGUGUUGCAGAAAAUUCUUCUGGUCCAGUUAAGAUAAAUCAACCUGACAAUGUCAGAAGUGAAUAUCAGAUACUUGCUGGUACAAAGGGAGCGGAAAGAAGACAUCUCUUUAGGGACAAGAGAGGUAGAAACAAAACAAAAAACAGAAUGUCAUCUGAUACCAUAGGACAGCCGACACCAAGUCUGAGGUCGAGUCAUGUCAGCUAAAGACAGCUCUGAAAUCUGGCUAGGAGGUUUGCUUGAACCACUUUCUUAGGCAAUCAGUGAGAUUUUGGAAGCAAGCAGGCAGAAGGAGGUUAGAUAUUGACUGCUGUCUUGUUCUGCAAUUAGGAACCUAUGAGCUGUGAGUAUUGGCAGCAUGAUAUUCCAGGGCCCAAGGAUUCCCCUAGACUUCCAAUAUCUUGCCCCCCAACAUGUCUGGCCCUACAGGGUUAACUUGCCUCUCCCGUACCCAGUACCUUCCUUAUUUCAUGCAUUAAGUCAAAACAUGAACAAGGAGCAAGUUAGUGUCUAGAAACUCAUGCUUUGCGAAUGGAGUUUACCUGAACAGAGGUGUAGCUAUGUGGAGAUUUUCCACAGCUGGUCAGGGAGCUCUGUGAAGAACCUCCUAAGAAUUCUCAGCACCAUUAACAAACUACAGUUCCCAGGAUUCUUUUGGUGGAAGCCAUGACUGGUAUAAGAGUGCUUUAAAAGUAUGUUGCAGAUGUGACACCUUAUUUUAUUGACCCAUGUGAAGUGGAGAUAAGCAGGAGGGUGGAGCAGGCAAUAAAAUGAGCAUUCUGGGGUUUGCAUCUUGGAUCACCCCAGAGCAAAUAUUAAGGAAUGGGAAGUUAGGAGGACAAAGAGAUUUCCUUCACCAUCCUAUAUAUACACACCAGCAUAGUCUUGUCACAGGGCUGGGUGGGAUGUUUAAAUAGUUAACAAGAAGUACUGUGAUUAUGUAAGUGUGUUUUAAAAUCUUGGAGUGAGCAUGAAGUCUCAUUCCUAAGGGCAUAAACUAACUGCUAACCAAGGAGGAGGGGGAGAAAAAACACACACCAUCCCUUGUGGCGAGGUCAUUCUAUAAAUGCCUGCUGCCAAGUCUGUAAAGUGCUCUGGAAGCUUUGGAUGAAAAAGAAUUCACAAGUAUUUGGGGAAGCAGGGAGGGGGGGAAAAGAUGCUGAAUGGCCUAUUAGGCAUCCUAUUAGGUCUUUCCUUCCAGUCUCAGAAUGUCAGUUGAGUUGUUUACAUAGUGCCGCACCAAAAUUGUACAGCAAAAAGGAAAAAAGAGAUACCCGAGUUUUAUCACAUGGCCAUAGGAGCCAACUCCUAGGGGCUGAGGUCCCCCCCUUGAAAUAUUUGAGGGGGCCACUUUCCCCACCCCCAAAAAAGUUGAUGGGCAUUGUCAUUCAAAUGGUAUGCAUGUGUCACGUCAUGUGAUCAAUAAUUUGGGGUGGGGCUUACCUGUCUUACAAUGUUUUAUUCAGGUUGGCGCUCAACUGCAACUUAUUCGUAACAUUUCAAAGGCAUUCAAAUUUGUAAAAGCAUGAGGUAAACAGUUCGACAAGGAGACCUCAGUUGUGAGUUAACAUGUAAAGGAUCGGGCUGUAGGUCACAUAUACAACAGAGCAACGAAAGAUUCUUAUUGAAUGCUGCUUGUAGGUAGGCAUGUUUCACAGGAAAUCAUUAGUGCACUGAUUUGAUUUGAAUGUGCUAACUUAUUUCCCAUAAAGCUCCUGGAAUUUGGGGCAAACAAUGAGCACUUCUGGUGGAAGAUUAGCACAAGGUACUUAGGAACGGCUGAACUGGAGGUUUAGCCGCCUCAAAGUAAUCUCAAGAAAUAUAUAAACUCUGGAAUGAAGCUAAUUAAAGCCUCCAAAAUCCUUAACCCUACCACUUCUGAGAAGGGUUUGGGAAAUCUUUAAGAUCUUUAGAGAGAAUUUAGUCUAGGUGCUCAGCUGAAAAGAGCACUGCUGAGAGACCCACUUCUUUGGGAGAAUUUACUACAAGAAAAGGGGUGGGUGGGAAAACUGUUUGGAUGAAAGAGUAUAGGUGUUGGACUGUCCCAUAUGUUUUCUGAGGAUGUAGAAGGGAGAGAUUCUGCCUCCAAUGAGCAGAUUCCUUGCUCCAUUGUUUUAGGCCUGUUUAACAGCUUAAUCGUAGCCUUAUGCUCACUUUCAAAACAACACCCAAAUGAUGAAAUGCCUUCACUGACAGCAGUCCCCCAAGGUCCCAGGCAUGCGUCUUUCCCUUCAAGAUCCUUUAACUAGAAGAGCAUGCAAAACAUGUGCUCUCCUGCUGAGCUAUGGCUCCCUCCUGCCUGAAAGAGAAAGAAGAGGGCAGCCAUUGGUUAACCAGUGCCACUUUUCAAUGGGAAGGGAAUCACAGGCUGUGAGGCCUGAUGUGGCCUUCAAUAUCUCUUUGUAUGGCCCUUGGAACUUUUUCUAGGCUACAUUUCCUCCCCAGCUACACAGCCCUCUUUACCAGUGGCAUCGCAACGGGGGUCGGGGGGGGCAGUGCGCCCCGGGUUCCACAUCUGGGAGGGUGACAAGGCGGCACCCCGCGGGGUGCUUGCCCUGCCGCCCUGGCUUGGGCAUUGCGGCGGGAGCAGCCAUUGUGCCACUGCAGCUGCAUUUGGAGGAUCCUCCGUUGGCGGCUGCAGCCACAAGCAGAGGAUCCCAGUGCUGGUGGCAAGCCACGAUGUACAGCACAUGUGCGGCGUCACACGCAUGUGUCACACAUAACAACACCACACAUGCACUGUACAUAGCAGUUUGCCACCAGUGCCACUUGAGCGCUGUACGGAUGGCGGUGGGAUCCCUCUGUCACCGCUACAGCCGUGAAAGGAGGAUCCUCCGUUCGCGGCUGUAGCUGCAAGCAGAGGAUCCCGGCACCGUCCAUACGGCGCUGGAGCACUGCUGCCGGCAAACCACUAUGUACAGCGCAUGUGCGGCAUCACUACGUACAGCGCAUGCGUUGUACAUAAUGACAUCGCACAUGCACCCUAUGUAGCAACAACCCGCCCUGGGUGUCACGACGCCUUCGUUAGCACCUGCUCUUCACGAGCCACAUUGACACUGGCUUGCAGCGUCCUCAAGUGUUUUCACCUGGGUGGAACGUAUGCUUGAAUUCUUGCUUGCUUAGAUGGAGGAUAGCUAAACUUGACCUUCAUUUCUCGACCCUGUCUCUGGCCCUGCCCAUCACUGGCAAGUGGGGUUGCUGGGAAGGUCUUCUAUCUUAAAAAGAAAAAAGGUUCCCCAUCCCUGUCUUAGGAUGUCACUUUUAAACCACACCUGGAGCAGCAGUGAUACUUGACUUUACUCUGACUAGCUGAAGAAAAGCUUUCUGAAAGUAAUGACAAGGCAGGUCUUUGAUCAUAAUUUGUAAUACGCCUUUGUUAUGCUGGUCCCUUCCAUAUACUUUGGCUCUCAUCAGCCUCUGGCAUGCUUGCACCAGUGUGGCUUUUCUGAGGGAAUAUGGAAAACUAACAAUGCACAAAAAAACCCAAUAAUACAGAUAUACUCUUUGGGAAGGACAAAAUAAAUACAGACACAAUAAACAAUAGAUAUACUAUAUCUUAAUAAGCUAUUGCUCCGUGGUAUUCUUUUUUAAAAUUGUACUUACCACAAUGAGAAGCAGCUCAGAAUUCUGCUUUUGAUCAAGCAAGGUAGCCCUAGAUUUCCACAAUCUCAAAAUAAACAGUUAUGUGUUUGUGUUAUAGACAAAUCUCUGAAUAUAAGACGAUUAGGGGCAACCUAAUCAGGGAUUAUUGUUAAUAAACUUGAACUAAGCCACACGUGGUUAGGUAGCAAGAAAAUGACCCAGUAAUAUGACAGCUCCCGUGGAAAUGAAAUCUUAAAUACAAAAAUAAAAUUAAAAAUGCACAUACCCAGAUAUACUCUCUCUAUUCAAGUGGCAUAAUCAUGCACUGUGAUUAUGAAUAAUAAAUAACAAUAAUUAUAUUUAUAAAGCAGCCUGCAUAUACACUAUGAUGGCACUUGUGAUUCAAUGAGCUGUUUCAUCAAGCAGAGUAUGAUUAAAUGAAAGAACACUUAUUUUAAAAGGACAUUUUAGAAAACGAAACGGGGAAGGGAAAGGAUGAAAAGCAUAUCUGUACUAUUUUAUAUUUUCCAACCCUGUUGUUUCUUUAGCCAUUGAUUUGUCCAGGCCACUGGACUUGCCUGUUCUUAUAUAACCUUUGACCCAGUCACAGAGCUAUACAUGCCCUCCAAUUGUAUACAUGUCUACUCAGAAGUAAGCAGGCCUACUGAAUUCAGGGGGACUAACUUCCAGGUAAGUCUGCAUUGGAGAGAACAGAAAAUUUACCAGUCUGGGGGUGGGACUAGUGCCAUGUUGAAUUUUGGGGAUGUGUAAAAUUUUAGCUGCAAAAGUUGUUUUUGGGUGGCAAUACAAAAAUGUUCACAAACCUUGCACUCUGCAUACAUAGGAGACCAUCUCAUUUGAUUAAUGUGCGCUAGGGCUUUUUCUGUGGUGAUGCCCCAAAAGUGGAAAACUAUCUCUCAAGAGAUUAGGCUAUCACCCUCUCUUUUACAUUUAAACACUGUUAAUUGAAAAGAUUCAUGUUUAAAUAAGCUUUUGAGUCUGUUACUGCUUGAUGUGUUGAUUUUGAGACCUGCAAUUUGCGUGUUGUUGUUUUGGCUGCUGUCUCUAGUUUGAUCAUUUGUGUUGGAUCGCAGUUGGUUGUUUUGUGAAGGGGAGAAGUAGGGUACAUUUUAAAUAAAUAAAUACACAAUUAUAGCCGUAGUCACUAGAACUAGGGAGUUGGCUAAAAAUAUAGGUGCUCUGUAGGUGAAUUUACAUUUAAUUCGUGGAAACCCCACUUCCAAAUUGGGCCCUCUGCACAUAAAAACUUCUGUAUAAUGUCUUGUUUCACUAGCAGAAGAGGUUUUGGUUUUUAGCACAUGUUGCCUAUUCAGGCGAGCCAGUUUGUCUCUGGCAAUUUUUUCUUUUUUUCUUUCAAUAUUUGAUUUGCAAAGGGUUGAAAUAAUUAUAAAGAAUUGUUAUGCUCAAGAGACUCUGGACUUACAAUACUAUAGAACUGCCAUUUACUAGGAUUUUUAAAGGACAUCAUUACAUAAAUAUCUAGUGUGGCAGUGACUCUUCUUUUUUCAACUGCCCUUGAAACUUGAGCUUCUAUGUAAGCACAGGGCCAGGACUAGCUUUGUCUGAAGAUUAGCAGUCAAUCAAAGAGCCCCUACAGAUUAAACCUGCAUCAAGGUAGACCUGAUCUACCUUGGUAUUUGGUAGGAAACGGCUCAGUCCAUAAAUUCAAAGAGGGAAAACAGAAGGAUAGCAGCUGGCGAAAAAAGAUUACUUUUCUCAUUCCACAGUACAUCACAUUGUACUGCAGCUCUCAAAGUGAGAACAAAUUAUGACUAAAUGUUCAGUGACUGAGGGAUUAGAGAGUUCAAUUUAAUAAACAGGCAGAAGCCCUGGUAAUUCCUAGUGAAAAGAGACUUUAAUAACUCGCUUUGGAUACGUUGAUAACAGGAAUAGGCGAGCGCUAUAAUAGAGACAGAGUGAAAAGUGACGGUCAUUUUCAAACUUGCUACUUUGCCGAAUGAUUGAAUCUCAAUCAUUCAAGUCCAAUGGGCUCUUGAGUCUGAUGGAACAGGGAAGCAGCCAUCACUAGGAAUAAUGUACUUGUAUAAAUAACUUUUCUUAUCUCAUGAAAAGUUCCUGUUUGAGAAGCAGUGCUUUAGUCUUCCUUGUUGGGUACAAAACAAAUAUAUAUUCUCGUGCACUUAUUUUUUUCAAAAUGCUUCCAGAUAGCUAAGGAAGGAGAUGGCUUACAUUGUUAACGUAAUAUGUACAAAUGUGGGUCCAGUGGCUUUAUUUGUACAUUCAAAAUUUGGCCUUCAUUCAAACCGCACUUGAUUAAAGCUUUGAAGCCUUACUACUUUUAAGCAUUAAGCAAAUGAUCUGAAUAUGUAUGUACAGCAGGGCGGGUCCAAGACAUGUUACUACCUGAGGUGCAGCAGCAAAUGAUCUUCAAUCUCCCUCAAGAGUCAUGCCGUUUUGUAUCCAAGGUGGCUGAGACAGAAAAUUUCACAAUCGAGUAUUUGCGCAAUCCCUUCCUGGCUGUAAAAAUACAGCAACAGUAAAUUUCAUAGCUAAUGAUAUGCUCCCCUUUCAUGAUACCGCAAAUCAGCUGCCUGAGGCAGUUGCCUCCCUCUGCCUAAUGGUAGGGCCAGCUCUGUCUCACAGCAAACCUGUUCUGUGCCAUAUAUUGGGUGAAGGUUUGGGUACCAUUUCCAAAAUCUUAGUCUUAAAGUAUUUAAACGCAGGCAGCAGAAAAAUAAAAUCCUCUUGUUUUUAAAAUUAAGGACUUAAAAACCAAAACUCAUUUGUCUAGAAAUGACGGGGAAGGGUCAGAGCAUCUUCUAUGCAUGCAGAAGAUUCCAGGUUCAGUUGUUGGCUGGGAGAGAAUUCUGCCUGGAAUCCUGGAGGGCUGCUGGCGGCCACUGCAAAUGAUACUGCGCUUGGUGGGCCAAUGGUCUGACUCAAUAUAAGGCAGCUUCUUAUGCUCCUAUUCAAUUAUUCUUUCUAGCUAUACAUACGUUCAAGAAAAUGGUUUGCACAAUGUGCUGUGGAAACAGGAGGUUCAAUAGCCUGCAGUCCUUUCCCCCCCAAUUAUGCCAGGUUAAGAUUGCAUAUGAUUUGGCCUAUGCACUUUGGACUUUGUGCUCGUAGGCAUAGCUGAUAUGUCAGUUCUAAUGUGCAGAGGAGUGCCAGGUUGCUAGGCUGGUAUGAGCAGAGGUGAGGCAGGCUUGGCACCAGAACAGAAUUGUCUCCCCUGCCCCAUACUGUACUCUUACUUGCAUAUGAAUAGGGUUAGUGUAGAUCUGUGUUGCAUAAUUUACAUAUUAUGCAAACUGUUUCCUAAUGAUGCACACCUUCUUCUGGUUUUGUUUGGGAAAUGUACUAGUUAGAGGUUUUUGAAUGUCUUAACGAGAUAACGCAUCUGGAUGCAAAUCAGUGGCGCACAAGGCUUCAGCAUGCAGCUGAGCACAGACUUAGGCUGGGAGUGUGUCUGAGAAGGCAACUGAAACUCUGAGCUUCCCUACAAUCUGAGGUGGGCUUGUUAUGGGGUUCAGAGUUCAGUUUCCUCAGAAUGAAGGUCAGCAGAGACUGGGGAGGUGGGGGAAGCCCUCUGAACACUUGAGGGUGCCUGGCCUCUUCAAAUAACAACAAAAAACUACUGGCCCCUAGGACCUCUAAAAACUAUCUGUAAUUGCAAGUAAAGUCUUGUAAGAGAUAACCUCACAGUAAUAACAUUCUUUCGUAUCCCUGUCUCAUCCCUUCCGUCGCCCAUGCCUACUAGUGCUAUGUGCUACAUUUUGUGACUUCAAUUUGCUCUGAUUUCUGAGUUGUUGUUUCUUCCAUCUCUGUCAGGAACGCUUCUAACAAUAAUAAGCCCCUGACAGUUUGCACUACUGCUAAGUAACUUCACUUCGCAUACCUCAGCUACUUAAAGCUAACAAGCCAUGCGUGUUUCUCUCUGCCAAAAUUCCUCCACAACAUUACAAAACUAUUUCCAGUAUCCUUCAAAGCUUUAGGAGGCAGGGUGUGUUUCUGUGUGCCCAAUGAGCUGAUGGCGGGCAUUCGGGCCCUGGUCAAAUUGCCACCUUUGGAACUUUAAAUAAAACUACCAGAUGCUAAUUCUUGCCUUUUAGUUGUGUGGUUUUUAAUUGUUCCCUUUUGUUUUGCAUGAAACUCUAUGGGUAUCGCUGUGCUUGCAUUUUCACAGGCAAGUCAGCGCAGCUGUGAACUAGUGUAUAAUUGCAUCUUUAAAAAUAAAAUUCCAAUGUUUUUGAAACAAAUUCAACAAACCUGCCUUCCCCUACCAGAAUUAUGGGGGAAGUUAGGAGGGUCAUUAAUGAAAUCCACAGUCAAAUCGUACCAUUUUAAAAAUAGUAGGUAAAAGGGGACUGUAGUAAAAGCUAAGGGGGCUUCCCUGCCCCUAUAAUUCAAGCCCUGCCUUGUCUGCCACAUUCAGAAUCCUCUGUGGAAAUCACAAUUCGAAAAAUGAAUUGUUUGUGUCUGUUGCAUUGCUUGAGAACUUCAAUGUAACUCAAGUUGAAAAGUUUUGCUGGGUUCUUUCAUAAUAAAAUAUGUCAUGAAACAUUAAAGCAGGGUUUGUUUAAUUGUGUGUCGUUUCUUGCGUAUUUGGUCCUUUAGGCAUUAUAAACAGCAAAAGCCUGUCUCUUCCUUUCUCUCUACAGACACUUGGAACGUUUCUCUUUGCAAAACGAGCGCUCCCUUUCCAUAAAAAAUGAAAGCCUUGCAACCAGCACCAGGGCACUCAAAUAUCAUUGGAGAAUUGAAACCUGUCACACUGCAUUCCAUAAUUUUCCAGCAUCACAGGAAUGAUUCACCCUGAUUGAGACUGCAGGCAAGUGACAAAAUACUGCUGUAUUAGCCAAAUAAUUUAAAAAAGCAAUUUUUGCUUGUUUUGUCUCAUUUUUAAUCCAUCC
This is a non-coding RNA of Podarcis lilfordi (Lilford's wall lizard), 19304 nucleotides long. The record is from the annotation of a GenBank genome assembly. NCBI's taxonomy places the organism in Eukaryota, Metazoa, Chordata, Lepidosauria, Squamata, Lacertidae.